This 524-nucleotide ribosomal RNA is filed under the name uncultured bacterium. RNAcentral's name for it is "bacterial SSU rRNA". It matches the Rfam family "Bacterial small subunit ribosomal RNA", at positions 959 to 1482 of the family's 1533-position model. The record is from RNAcentral.
ACGCGAAGAACCUUACCCAGGCUCGAACGGCAAGUNACAUCCGGCGAAAGCGGGCUCCCGCAAGGGCAGUUGCCGAGGUGCUGCAUGGCUGUCGUCAGCUCGUGUCGUGAGAUGUUGGGUUAAGUCCCGCAACGAGCACAACCCUUGUCCGCUGUUGCCAUCAGGUUAAGCUGGGCACUCUGCGGAGACUGCCGGUGAUAAACCGGAGGAAGGUGGGGAUGACGUCAAGUCAGCAUGGCCUUUAUGUCUGGGGCUACACACGUGCUACAAUGGCAGAUACAAACCGUCGCGAGACCGCAAGGUGGAGCUAAUCGGAGAAAGUCUGUCUCAGUUCGGAUUGCAGGCUGCAACUCGCCUGCAUGAAGUUGGAAUCGCUAGUAAUCGCGGAUCAGCACGCCGCGGUGAAUACGUUCCCGGGCCUUGUACACACCGCCCGUCACAUCACGAAAGCUGGCUGUACUAGAAGUCGCCGCGCUAACCCGCAAGGGAGGCAAGCGCCUAAGGUAUGGUUAGUGAUUGGGGUG